Molecule: microRNA precursor, 107 nt
Filed under: Phlebotomus papatasi
Lineage: Eukaryota; Metazoa; Arthropoda; Insecta; Diptera; Psychodidae
Description: mir-965 microRNA precursor family
Source: RNAcentral
GAUUUGAGCUGUGCGUAAUUUUGAGCGCAAUCUUGAGCAUUUUAUGAUUCAGUUUUUCGGAUUUUUAAGGCUCAAGAUUGCGCUCAAAAUUACGCACAGCUCAAUUA